This 265-nucleotide ribosomal RNA is filed under the name uncultured bacterium. Its description in RNAcentral is "partial 16S ribosomal RNA". It matches the Rfam family "Bacterial small subunit ribosomal RNA", at positions 793 to 1055 of the family's 1533-position model. The record is from RNAcentral.
GUCCACGCCCUAAACGAUGUCGACUGGUUGUUGGGGGUUUGACACUCUCAGUAACGAAGCUAACGCGUGAAGUCGACCGCCUGGGGAGUACGGCCGCAAGGUUAAAACUCAAAGGAAUUGACGGGGACCCGCACAAGCGGUGGAUUAUGUGGAUUAAUUCGAUGCAACGCGAAAAACCUUACCUACCCUUGACAUGUCCUGGAGCCCGGUGAAAGCCGGGUGUGCCCGAAAGGGAACGGGAACACAGGUGCUGCAUGGCUGUCGU